UGGGAAGAAAGUUGUGAAAGCAACCUGACGGUACCAGAGGAAUCAGCAUCGGCUAACUCCGUGCCAGCAGCCGCGGUAAGACGGAGGAUGCAAGCGUUAUCCGGAAUGAUUGGGCGUAAAGCGUCCGCAGGUGGCAGUUCAAGUCUGCUGUCAAAGACCGGGGCUUAACUUCGGAAAGGCAGUGGAAACUGAACAGCUAGAGUAUGGUAGGGGCAGAGGGAAUUCCUGGUGUAGCGGUGAAAUGCGUAGAGAUCAGGAAGGAACACCAGUGGCGAAGGCGACCACCUGGGCUCAUACUGACA
Molecule: ribosomal RNA, 302 nt
Filed under: uncultured bacterium
Lineage: Bacteria
Description: bacterial SSU rRNA
Rfam family: Bacterial small subunit ribosomal RNA
Source: RNAcentral